Molecule: long non-coding RNA, 1541 nt
Filed under: Vigna radiata
Lineage: Eukaryota; Viridiplantae; Streptophyta; Magnoliopsida; Fabales; Fabaceae
Description: long non-coding RNA (VRAD_LNC013651)
Source: RNAcentral
UUGAAAAUUGCCCUUCAUGGCAAUUAACAAUCUAGCUCGAUGCUCGUUGUUUGGUCGGAUAACUACCAUGGAUCCAACAAAAGAGUAUUUGGGUAGCCUAGGAUGAUUUAGGUAGGUCUUGAUUGUCCCUAGAGAUGGGGGUAUGGUGAUAAUAGCGUUGGGUGGUAGGCUAAGGUAUGUGUUGGAUGGUUGGUAGAAAAAAAUUUUGCAUAUAAGGUGUUAUGGUGCAUGUGUGGGUUUCUAGGUUGCGUUNAACGUGGACGAAGAAAUGAAGUGUUAGAUGGGUGCAUAAGGAGAGGGGUGUUGGAGGUAUGGAUGUUGGAUUGUGUUAGGUUAAAAAGAGGAAAGUAAAUGGUUUGUGGGGUUUGAAUGUGUGAUUUUUAGAGUAUAAGGCUUUAAUAUUUGAGGUAGUUUUGGAGGUGGUCAUUUGAGAGGUGUAAGGUUGUGGUAAGGGUUGUUUUUGUUGUGAUUGGGAUUUUUAUGGUGCGGGUUGAAGUGAUGGUGUUUUGUGAACCGAGGGAAAAAGGGGUAGACUUUUUGCCUCGCCUGUAUACGCCUCUGUUCGGGAACCGGUGCCUAUGGACGAAAAUACCCGUUGUUGUUUCCCUUGACUACACUAGUGAAGGGGUGUUGGAGGUAUGGAUGUUAGAUUGUAUAUUAAGUAAAAAAGGGGGUAAGUAAAUGGUUUGUGGGGUUGGCUGUGUGUUUUACGGAGUAGAAGGCUUUAACGCUGGAGGUAGUGUUGGAGAUGGUCAUUUGAGAGGUGGAAGGUUAUGAUAACAGUUGUUUUUGUUUUUAUGGGAUUUUUAUUGUAGGGGUUGAGGGGAUGGUGUUUUGUGUUUAGGUAGUGAAAGUGGACGAUGAGGACUUGUUUGUUUUGGAAAUGAGGUUUGAGGUGGUGGCAAUAAGUCUCGAGGAGGAGAUUGUUGAGGUUGGAUGAGGAGCACUUGGUCAUCAUUUGAGCUAGGUGUAUAACUGCUUCAAGAAGCGUUCGAUAUGACUAUGUGAUCUUAGACGCUUGUUUGGAAGAACGUCUAGUUACAAUCUUCUGUUUCUUAGGAGCAGGUUCAGUAAUUGUACGUAGUUGCAUUAGACUAUCAUGGGCGUUUAAAAACAAGUCCAUCAUAAGAUUCUUGAGACGCUUCAGGACAUACACAUCCAAUAAAACACACCUUUUCCUUCUUAGCUUUCUCUCAAACAGCCACAAGGUGAGAGUGUUUAGGAGAAUCGGAGGAGUAAGAGCGUCUAGCUCAGGUAUAUCUCCAACGUCAAUUUUAUCUAAAAAUUACAAAAUUGUCAUUGGUUAUUUUUAACAUUGAUUCUUUGUUUGCGUAAUGUUGAAUAGGUGAUAUGGAAAACUUAGAAUAAAACUUUAAAUGAGAUUAAUUUUUAACCUAAUCCUAGAUUUUAAUAUCUAAAUAAUCCAUUUAUGAACUCAAUUUUUAUAAAUUGGGUACAAACAAUUACAAAAUAAAAUGGACAAUUAUAUAUUUGAAGAGAAAUGUUUCAAAAGGAAAAGUUAUACAUUUAGAAUUUGACUU